AGGUCCCCAACACCGUCCUCAUCUGCAUGGUGAUCCUGCUUAACAUCGGCCUGGCGAUCCUCUUCGUUCACCUCCUGACCUGACCCUCGUCUGCCAGAGCCAGGAGUUCCUGCUGAGGACACAGAGACCCACCUUUCUGCAGUGCUGGGCAGGGUGGCCAAGGAGGACUGGACUCUGGACCCGGAGCCCUGGGUCCCAGCUCACACCCACGCUGCAAACAUUUAAGGAGGCCUCCCAUGGCGCCCGUGCUGGGUGACGGAGGUGUCCAGAGGGAUAGAAUGUGCUGGAAACCCUCCUAGAGCUUUGCCCAGGGGCAGGGAAAGCCCUGAUUGCUCCUGUCCCUCAUCCUCAUCCACUCCCUCACCUUGUCCGUAGGUCACCCCCUCCCUGGGCUUUGUGUGUUUUGGGAGAAGUCACCAAACCAGAGUAUUAAUAUGAACUCCCAGUCCCUUUCUUGCUCCCCCUCUCCUGCUUUAACUUAACCUCUGGCUGCUGGGCUGACAGCUCCCUGGGUGGGCCAGCCGCAAGGAGACGCUCUCAGAGGUCUUGACCCAGCACACACUCUGUCCCCUGCUUACAGGUGUUCUGGAUGACAGUAGAGGAAAUGGACAUGCUCGGUUUGAAUAUCCCAGAAUGCAGUGCUCCUGUCUCCUCCCACCUGUCCAGCUAGCUUCCCUUCCGGACCAACGGAAGAGGAGGAGACAGGAGGGACUGGAGCCUUUGGCUAGGAAGCUACCGACCAGGUGGCCAGGGAGUGGGGCUGGGAAGAAGGGCUGGGGAGUUAGGAUGGCCCCUGUGUUUGGGUGUGUCUGAGCCCGAGGCUGGCAUUGCACUUAGAGUUUCAAGUGUGCUCAGGGUGCGGAGGUCACCGUGCCGGAGCCUGGGCUGGCGAGAUAAAGCUGCCGUGAUGCCCGGUGAGUUGGUUUGGCCGCUUCCCCCACCAGGGCCCGCAGCAGGCUCAGGGGACAUUGCGCAUGGAAGCUUUUGGAAGCCCAGACAGAUUCCCCUGGGCCAGACGUUCAAGCAGGUGCUGAAGACAGGCUGCUUGUCAGCAAGCGUUUCCCAGGGAGAGGAGCAGGUCCAGGGCUCCCACCCGGUGCCUCUGUGUGAUGACGAGCUCCCGGCUUGCGUGGCAAAGAGGUUUGCAUGCAACUCGUCACAGGUGUUUGGCACCACCUGGGUCUCGGGCCCUGUGCUGGCUGCGGUGGGUAGAAGCUGAGGGCUGUCAGAGGCUGCCCCUGGGUGAAUGGAGUGAACGUUCCCGGCCCCCAGGCGGGAAGGACGGGACAGUGACGUCCAGGCAGAGCUGACCGGCUGCUGCUCUCCUUCCCUCUGUUCCUGUGGACCUGGGGGCCGUGGAGUGGUGGCCCGGCCUCCCUAGGCCAGCUCUGCGGCCUGAAGUGCCUUCUGAUGGGUGUGCUUCCCCUUCCCCCUCAAUACUUGGGACCUCUGUCCAGCUUCACACUUGCUGUUCAGCCCUGCGGGGGCCUCGCCAUGUGGCUGGGUCAUGGACUGCAUUUCUGCGGAGAGAAGCCUGCGGAUUCGCCAUCCUCCACUGGCCAGGGCCUGUGGCUCUGCCUCUGUGUUUGGGCUUUUCUGGACUCCUGGGGAAUGAGGGGCAGGUUGGACACUGCUGAGGGCUGCCAGGCUCCAGGCCUGGGCUCUGGGUCGUUGUCCAGGUUUCUUGGUCUGGCCCAAGCUGUCAGCUUCUAGGCCUGGUUUGAGGGCUGGUGUUUGGGGCAAGGGUUCCGGAUGCUGCAAUCUGUGCGAUAAUAAAUCUGCAUCUGCUCACAGGC
This is a long non-coding RNA of Myotis lucifugus (little brown bat), 1796 nucleotides long. RefSeq lists it as uncharacterized. NCBI's taxonomy places the organism in Eukaryota, Metazoa, Chordata, Mammalia, Chiroptera, Vespertilionidae. The transcript is spliced from 2 exons. The record is from RefSeq and is a predicted model, not a curated record.